RNAcentral lists this ribosomal RNA (1664 nucleotides) under Drosophila macrospina. Its description in RNAcentral is "eukaryotic LSU rRNA". The stretch from base 522 to 1664 matches the Rfam family "Eukaryotic large subunit ribosomal RNA", at positions 1 to 964 of the family's 3401-position model. Lineage: Eukaryota; Metazoa; Arthropoda; Insecta; Diptera; Drosophilidae. The record is from RNAcentral.
GACGCAGCAAACUGUGCGUCWUCGUGUGAACUGCAGGACACAUGAMCAUCGACAUUUUGAACGCAUAUCGCAGUCCAUGCUGUUAUGUACUUUAAUUAAUUUUARAGUGCUGCUUGGACUACAUAUGGUUGAGGGUUGUAAGAUUAUGCUAAAUAAGUUGUUUAAAUUUCUUUAGAAUUUUAAGCAUAUGGUAUAUUAUUGGGUAUUAUAUGUAUAGAGUUGUAAGGCUUUGCACAUAACAUAUUCAUAAUAUUAACUAAUAAAUGGAAUUUACUAUACCUCUAUGUUGUAUAUAUUUGUAAGAGGAAUUUGAAGAAAUAUAAUUUCUUUAUUCUAAUCAAAUAAUACUGAGGAAAGUCUAGCAUAAAAAAAAAUUUUUUUUUAACURGAAUUGCCUCUUAUUAAUGAUGGGAAAAAGAAUAAAACGUUGAAAAAUAUUAKGGAACUUCAAAAAAUUUAGUACAUUUCAUAACUUUAAAAUUAACAUCAUGUUUAUUUUAACGAUUAUUAUUAUAAUUAUACAACCUCAACUCAUAUGGGACUACCCCCUGAAUUUAAGCAUAUUAAUUAGGGGAGGAAAAGAAACUAACAAGGAUUUUCUUAGUAGCGGCGAGCGAAAAGAAAUCAGUUCAGCACUAAGUCACUUUGUCUAUAUGGCAAAUGUGAGAUGCAGUGUAUGGAACAUCAAUAUUCUAGUAUGAGAAAUUAACGAUUUAAGUCCUUCUUAAAUGAGGCCAUUUACCCAUAGAGGGUGCCAGGCCCGUAUAACGUUAAUGAUAUUAGAUGGUGUUUCCAAAGAGUCGUGUUGCUUGAUAGUGCAGCACUAAGUGGGUGGUAAACUCCAUCUAAAACUAAAUAUAACCAUGAGACCGAUAGUAAACAAGUACCGUGAGGGAAAGUUGAAAAGAACUCUGAAUAGAGAGUUAAAUAGUACGUGAAACUGCUUAGAGGUUAAGCCCGAUGAACCUGAAUAUCCGUUAUGGGAAAUUCAUCAUUAGAAUUGUAAUAUUUCAUCAAUAUUAUAAUAAUAGUGUGCAUUUUUUCCAUAUAAGGACAUUGUAAUCUAUUAGUAUCAUUAAAUUUAUCAAAAAAUUUUAGAUAAUUGCUUAUUUGAAUUAAAAUGCUUGCGUUUUAACAUAAAAUAAAUGUCAUAAAUUUGAUAAAGUGCUGAUAGAUUUAUAUGAGUACAGUGCGUUAAUUUUUCGGAAUUAUAUAAUGGCAUGAUUAUCAUUGAUUUUUGUGUUUAUUAUAUGCAUUUGUAUGAUUAACAAUGCGAAAGAUUCAGGAUACCUUCGGGACCCGUCUUGAAACACGGACCAAGGAGUCUAACAUAUGUGCAAGUUAUUGGGAUAAAAACCUAAUAGCGUAAUUAACUUGACUAUUAAUGGGAUUAGUUUUUUAACUAUUUAUAGUUAAUUAACACAAUCCCGGGGCGUUCUAUAUAGUUAUGUAUGAUAAUAUUUAUAUUAUUUAUACCUCUAACUGGAACGUACCUUGAGCAUAUAUGCUGUGACCCGAAAGAUGGUGAACUAUACUUGAUCAGGUUGAAGUCAGGGGAAACCCUGAUGGAAGACCGAAACAGUUCUGACGUGCAAAUCGAUUGUCAGAAUUGAGUAUAGGGGCGAAAGACCAAUCGAACCAUCUAGUAGCUGUUUUCCUUCCGA